AUUUUCUUAGUAUAACUAGUAUAAGUGACUUCCAAUCAUUUGGUCUUGGUGAAACUCCAGGAGAAAAUA
RNAcentral lists this transfer RNA (69 nucleotides) under Glandirana emeljanovi (Northeast China rough-skinned frog). RNAcentral describes it as "tRNA-Gly". It matches the Rfam family "tRNA". Rfam says of the family: Transfer RNA (tRNA) molecules are approximately 80 nucleotides in length. Their secondary structure includes four short double-helical elements and three loops (D, anti-codon, and T loops). The record is from RNAcentral. Lineage: Eukaryota; Metazoa; Chordata; Amphibia; Anura; Ranidae.